Molecule: transfer RNA, 74 nt
Filed under: Bacteroides sp. OF04-15BH
Lineage: Bacteria; Pseudomonadati; Bacteroidota; Bacteroidia; Bacteroidales; Bacteroidaceae
Description: tRNA-Cys
Rfam family: tRNA
About the family: Transfer RNA (tRNA) molecules are approximately 80 nucleotides in length. Their secondary structure includes four short double-helical elements and three loops (D, anti-codon, and T loops).
Source: RNAcentral
GGUGCCCUGACCGAGUGGCUAGGUAGCGGUCUGCAAAACCGUCCACAGCAGUUCGAAUCUGCUGGGCACCUCCA